CGAGAAGACCCUGUGGAGCUUUAGACACCAAGACAAAUCAUGUUAAGGACCCCUAAAUAAAGGCCUGAACUUAUUGAAAACUUGCUCUGAUGUCUUUGGUUGGGGCGACCGAGG
Molecule: ribosomal RNA, 114 nt
Filed under: Platycephalus richardsoni (tiger flathead)
Lineage: Eukaryota; Metazoa; Chordata; Actinopteri; Perciformes; Platycephalidae
Description: partial 16S ribosomal RNA
Source: RNAcentral